Molecule: ribosomal RNA, 514 nt
Filed under: uncultured bacterium
Lineage: Bacteria
Description: bacterial SSU rRNA
Rfam family: Bacterial small subunit ribosomal RNA
Source: RNAcentral
GAUUAUGGCUCAGGAUGAACGCUAGCUACAGGCUUAACACAUGCAAGUCGUGGGGCAGCAUAUAGAUAGCUUGCUAUUAUGAUGGCGACCGGCGCACGGGUGAGUAACGCGUAUCCAACCUUCCCCAUAGUAGGGUAUAGCCCGGCGAAAGUCGGAUUAAUCCCCUAUGUUGUUUGAAGCGGACAUCUAAUUCAAACCAAAGAUUCAUCGCUAUGGGAUGGGGAUGCGUCUGAUUAGGUUGCAGGCGGGGUAACGGCCCACCUGGCCGACGAUCAGUAGGGGUUCUGAGAGGAAGGUCCCCCACACUGGUACUGAGACACGGACCAGACUCCUACGGGAGGCAGCAGUGAGGAAUAUUGGUCAAUGGGCGCGAGCCUGAACCAGCCAAGUAGCGUGCCAGGAUGACGGCCCUACGGGUUGUAAACUGCUUUUAUGCGGGGAUAAAGUGCGGCACGUGUGCCGUUUUGCAGGUACCGCAUGAAUAAGGACCGGCUAAUUCCGUGCCAGCCGCCGC